AGGCUAUAAAAUCGAUAAGUAUGAAGUUUAAACGACUAUAAGCAAACUGGUUUGGUCAUCCGCAAAUAGAAUAUUUAAAAAGCGAUUACUUAAAUGAUUAUUUGGAUAAAAUAUUAUUUCAAAUAGUAAUGGUGUUGACAUAGUGGCAAGCCUUGAUGAUUGUGCUAUCCUAGGACUACGUGGUGAUUUAUGUAAUUGCAAUUGUGAUGAUUCUGAAGUUGUUGGUGUUUUUGGUAAUCGUAAAUUUUUCCUUAGUGGCUUAGCAGGUGUUCGUAUUGAUCUUCUCCUUUUAGAUUUACUUGCAUUUGCUAAUACCUUUUCUGGCAAUAAAGAACUUCGUAGUUCUUUCUUAUCCUCUAAGUGUUCUUCAAAUUUACUAUAUGUUGUGUCAGUAGCUGUUGAACUUUGUAAUAUGGAAUUCUCGUUUUUAUGACUAUUUUUUGAUUUCAAUGCUUUUUUAGAAACUGCACUGUUUCCUUUACUUUUAGAUCCACUUGUUCCUGUGCUCCUAUUUCUACGUUUUGCUGAAGUAUUCGGAGAAGGACUACAGAAAAGUUUUCUCUUUGAGCAAUUAAGUGGUGUAUGACGACGAAUACUGAAUAUACCUUUUUUGGAUGAGCUUAAAGCAACUUUAGAAGGAAUUUUAGAAACAGUUGGUGUUGCCUUUUUUGCUGAUUUAUCUUUUCCUUCUUUUCUAGCCUUCUUUAUAGACUCCUUUUCUUCGUUUAAAUGUUCCCAUGACUCUUUCAAUAAUUCCUCUACUGACAUUCCAUUUAUAGUAAAUAUUUCUUCAUGUAUAUUUUCAUAUUCCUUUAUUAAAUUCCUUAAUUGCUCUUCGAUUUUUGGCAGCUUUUUCUGGAUGGUUUUACGUUCCUUUUCUUCCAUUAAUAGCUGACCACCACGAUUAUAAAAACGAUCUGGAUUAUUUGCACGUUGUAACAAUUCUUUCAUUUUUGUCCAUAAAUCAUCACGUUCCUGUAAGAGUUCAUAUAUAGACUUAUUUGAAUUAUAGAACUCUUGGAUCCUUUUUACUUCCAGUUCAUGCAAUGUUAAUAAAUCUUCUGUAUAUGUAUGGGAAUAAAAAUAUAUAAACUCUC
This is a long non-coding RNA of Bombus terrestris (buff-tailed bumblebee), 1097 nucleotides long. RefSeq lists it as uncharacterized. The transcript is spliced from 2 exons. The record is from RefSeq and is a predicted model, not a curated record. Lineage: Eukaryota; Metazoa; Arthropoda; Insecta; Hymenoptera; Apidae.